RNAcentral lists this ribosomal RNA (373 nucleotides) under uncultured organism. RNAcentral describes it as "partial 16S ribosomal RNA". It matches the Rfam family "Bacterial small subunit ribosomal RNA", at positions 527 to 896 of the family's 1533-position model. The record is from RNAcentral.
GUAGGAGGCAAGCGUUGUCCGGAAUUAUUGGGCGUAAAGCGCGCGCAGGUGGUUCUUUAAGUCUGAUGUGAAAGCCCCCCGGCUCAACCGGGGAGAGUCAUUGGAAACUGGGGGAACUUGAGUGCAGGAGAGGAAAGUGGAAUUCCACGUGUAGCGGUGAAAUGCGUAGAUAUGUGGAGGAACACCAGUGGCGAAGGCGACUUUCUGGCCUGUAACUGACACUGAGGCGCGAAAGCGUGGGGAGCAAACAGGAUUAGAUACCCUGGUAGUCCACGCCGUAAACGAUGAGUGCUAAGUGUUGGGGGGGUUUCCGCCCCUCAGUGCUGCAGCUAACGCAUUAAGCACUCCGCCUGGGAGUACGGUCGCAAGACUG